Molecule: ribosomal RNA, 245 nt
Filed under: uncultured Macrococcus sp.
Lineage: Bacteria; Bacillati; Bacillota; Bacilli; Caryophanales; Staphylococcaceae
Description: partial 16S ribosomal RNA
Rfam family: Bacterial small subunit ribosomal RNA
Source: RNAcentral
CUCUAGAGAGACUGCCGGUGACAAACCGGAGGAAGGUGGGGAUGACGUCAAAUCAUCAUGCCCCUUAUGAUUUGGGCUACACACGUGCUACAAUGGAUGGUACAAAGGGCAGCAAAACCGCGAGGUCAAGCAAAUCCCAUAAAACCAUUCUCAGUUCGGAUUGUAGUCUGCAACUCGACUACAUGAAGCUGGAAUCGCUAGUAAUCGUAGAUCAGCAUGCUACGGUGAAUACGUUCCCGGGUCUU